UACGUAGGUGGCAAGCGUUGUCCGGAUUUAUUGGGUUUAAAGGGUGCGUAGGCGGCCUAUUAAGUCAGUUCUGAAAUAUCCCGGCUUAACCGGGAGGGUGGGAUUGAUACUGAUGGGCUUGAGUGGAGUCGAGGUAGGCGGAAUUGACGGUGUAGCGGUGAAAUGCUUAGAUAUCGUCAAGAACACCGAUAGUGUAGACAGCUUACUAGACUUCAACUGACGCUGAGGCACGAAAGUGUGGGGAUCAAACAGGAUUAG
RNAcentral lists this ribosomal RNA (258 nucleotides) under uncultured bacterium. RNAcentral describes it as "partial 16S ribosomal RNA". It matches the Rfam family "Bacterial small subunit ribosomal RNA", at positions 524 to 781 of the family's 1533-position model. The record is from RNAcentral.